GCGUUCGUGGUGUAGUGGUUAGCACACUCGGCGCGUAUUCCAGAGGUCCGUGGUUCGACUCCCGGCGAGGGCA
Molecule: transfer RNA, 73 nt
Filed under: Stegodyphus mimosarum
Lineage: Eukaryota; Metazoa; Arthropoda; Arachnida; Araneae; Eresidae
Rfam family: tRNA
About the family: Transfer RNA (tRNA) molecules are approximately 80 nucleotides in length. Their secondary structure includes four short double-helical elements and three loops (D, anti-codon, and T loops).
Source: Rfam by way of RNAcentral